UCCUCCUUACAGAGGCAGUUUGGUCCGAGUCCCCGACUUGACUCGCUGGUAACAGACCAUGAGGGUUGCGCUCGUUGCGGGACUUAACCCAACAUUUCACAACACGAGCUGACGACAGCCAUGCACCACCUGUGCACCACCCUCGCAGGCGACUCGCUUUCACGAGCUUGCAGGUGCAUGUCAAGCCCUGGUAAGGUUCUUCGCGUUGCAUCGAAUUAAGCAACAUGCUCCGCCGCUUGUGCGGGCCCCCGUCAAUUCCUUUGAGUUUUAGCCUUGCGGCCGUACUCCCCAGGCGGGGCACUUAAUGCGUUAGCUACGGCGCGGAAAACGUGGAAUGUCCCCCACACCUAGUGCCCAACGUUUACGGCAUGGACUAC
Molecule: unclassified non-coding RNA, 377 nt
Filed under: uncultured Actinomycetes bacterium
Lineage: Bacteria; Bacillati; Actinomycetota; Actinomycetes
Description: uncultured actinobacterium contains 16S-23S intergenic spacer region
Source: RNAcentral